AAUCAACGCUGGCGGCGCGCUUAACACAUGCAAGUCGAACGAGAAAGUGGAGCAAUCCAUGAGUAAAGUGGCGUACGGGUGAGUAACACGUGGGUAAUCUACCUUUUGGUGGGGAAUAAC
RNAcentral lists this ribosomal RNA (120 nucleotides) under uncultured bacterium. Its description in RNAcentral is "partial 16S ribosomal RNA". It matches the Rfam family "Bacterial small subunit ribosomal RNA", at positions 32 to 147 of the family's 1533-position model. The record is from RNAcentral.